This is a long non-coding RNA of Schistocerca gregaria, 16681 nucleotides long. RefSeq lists it as uncharacterized. The transcript is spliced from 3 exons. Lineage: Eukaryota; Metazoa; Arthropoda; Insecta; Orthoptera; Acrididae. The record is from RefSeq and is a predicted model, not a curated record.
UUCUUCUGAUAAAAAUAAUGAAGCUCCGCACUUUCACUUAAAAUCUGAAGGACCUGCUAUAGUGUGGAAAAUUUUACUGGAGGAGGGUGUGUGUUCCAUAAAGUUGAUGGAUGUGGGCAGAAAUAUAGGGAUCUGUUAGAUAGGGAAACUAUAGAGCUGAGAGGUAGGAGUCGAGGUGGAUAGUGGCAAAUACAGUGGGUGGGCAAGACAGAGAGUGAGAAAUAGUACAUUGUGUGGGUAGGGUGGUGGUUGCAUGAGGAAAGGAAUGGAGAUGGGUGGAGAGAGAGAAGGAGAGAUGUGCCCUGAUGUAGAGUGGAUAGGUGGGGAAGUGUUAAAUUGGUAGAGGGGAUAAAUAUUGGAGCAGGUCUCAUUGUUUUGGAGAGGGAGUCCGUAGAAGUUGCAUUGGGUUAGGAUAUGGAAUGUGUCUAGGAGUAGGGAUAGAGGGAUGUAUCUGUGAAGACGAUAAUGGGAUGAUUGACAGCUGGUUUGUGAAUAGUUUAGGAGAUGAGGUGGUGUCCGAUGUGAGUGAAGAGGUGUGGGAUUUUUGAUGGGAGGGUAAAGGAUCCCGGUCAGGGAAGGUAAAUUGAUUCAGAAAGUGAGAUGAACAGAAUGGCAUUCGAGGAUUCGCAGAAUUUUGAUGGGGGAGAUUCAUGAAACCUUUGCAUAGUAGAGGAUGGGUCAGAUCAGGACUUUGUAGGUUUGGCGACUAGUGGAGAGGUAUAAUCCUCAAGUUGGCCUGUUAGUAGUUUUUGUAGUUUUCGUCUGUUGUGGGUUUUCUGUAGGAUGGUUAGUGGGUUUGUAGUUUUCGUCUGUUGUGGGUUUUCUGUUGGAUGGUUAGUGGGUAAUGUCUUCACCUCAGUUGCUGGUCGAGGGUUAGUGUGGUAGUUAAGUGGAUAGGACAGUCGUAAAUGGUAAGGUAGGAGUCAUGGAGGCGGAAGGUGUGUGUCGUUUGUACUAUAAUUAUUGCCUGGGUUUUGGAGGGGUUGAUCUUGAGGAGCCAUUGUUUACAUCAGCAGGGAACGUGAACUGAUUGAGAUGGCUGGGUAAGGGUGGUUUGGUCAUUUCAGUAGUGUAGAGGAGAUAAAGGGAAGAAGAGAGAACAGACCCUUGGAGCACUACUGCAGUGGAAUGGAGGGUACACGAAUUGGUAUUAUUAACAGUGACAAAGAAUGGGCGAUUAAGUAGGAAGGAUGCAAUAAAUUGGACAUGAUUCAUUUGACAGCCUUAAGUCUAAAGUUUUAAAACGAGACCUGAAUACCAUAUACGAUUCUAGGCUUUUUCUGCCGAGGAAGACAAAUAUAGCAGAUUUACUGAAGUGGAGUUGGUGGGGCAAGAGAUGGGUGAAGUGCAGGAGCUGGUCAUCAGAGGAGAAAGUGGGACAGAAGCCACACUAAUAAACAGGAAGAAAGUGACGUUAGUUCAAGUGUUGAUGGAUGCACUGGGAAAGGAUGGCAUCGAAGACAUUGCUAAAUACUGAGGUGAGGCGGAUGGGGCGGUAGGAGAAUGUAUCAAUAAGGGGUUUGUGGGAUUUGAGGAAAAGUAGGAUUUAUGAUGUUUUCCAUUGUUGAGGGUAGUAACCUGUGAGCAGGAUAAUGACGUAAAGGGGUGGAAGGGUGAGGAGAAAGGAGGGGGGAAUUCUCUGAUACGUCUUUAAGUAAUGCAGUGAUGACUGGGGGAAGUGCUGCGUUUUUUGUGAAGUACUUGUUUUAUGUUACGUUCUGUAAUUGGUGUGCUUAAUUCUAUUUAUAGUAACGUAACAGUAAAUAUCCUCGGAAUAGUGAAGCAACUUAAAUCACUUAAUAAAAGCAAGUCUUCUGGUCCAGACUGUAUACCAAUUAGGUUCCUUCUGGAGUAUGCUGAUGCAUUAGCUCCAUACUUAACAAUGGUAUACAACCGUUUGGUCUACGAAAGAUCCGUACCCAAAGACUGGAAAGUUGCACGGGUCACACCAACAAGAAAGGUAGUAGGAGUAAUCCACUAAAUUACAAGCACAUAUCGUUAACGUCGAUAUACAACAGGAUUUUAGAACAUGUAUUGUGUUCGAACAUUAUGAAUUACCUAGAAGAAAACGGUCUAUUGGCACACAGUCAACAUGGGUUUAGAAAUCAUCGUUCCUGUGAAACACAACUAGCUCUUUAUUCACAUGAAAUGUUGAGUGCUAUUGACGAUUUCAGAUCGAUUCCGUACUUAUGGAUUUCCGGAAAGCUUUUGGCACUGUGCCACACAAACGGCUCGUAGUGAAAUUGCGUACUUAUGGAAUAUCGUCUCAGUUAUGUGACUGGAUUUGUGAUUUCCUGUCAGAGAGGUCACAGUUCGUAGUAACAGACGGAAAGCCAUCGAGUAAAACAGAAGUGAUUUCUGGCAUUCCCCAAGGUAGUGUUAUAGGCCCUAUGCUGUUCCUUAUCUAUACAAACCAUUUUGGAGACAAUCUGAGCAGCUGUCUUAGGUUGUUUGCAGAUGACGAUGUUGCUUAUCGACUAAUAAAGUCAUCAGAAGAUAAAAACAAACUGCAGAACGAUUUAGAAAAGAUAUCUGAAUGGUGCUAAAAGUAGCAGGUGACCCUAAAUAACGAAAAGUGUGAGGUCAUCCACAUGAGUGCUAAAAGGAACUCGUUAAACUUCGGUUACGUUACACGAUAAAUCAGUCUAAUGUAAACCCGUAAAUUCAACUAAAUACCUAGGUAUUACAAUUACGAACAACUUCAAUUGGAAGGAACACACAGAAAAUGUUGUGGGGAAGGCUAACAAAAGAUUGCGUUUUAUUGGCAGUACACUUAGAAAAUGUAACAGACCUAUUAAGGAGACUGCUUACACGACGCUUGUCCGUCCUCUUUUAGAAUACUGCUGCGCGCUGUGAGAUCGUUACCAGAUAGGACUGACGGAGUACUUCGAAAAAGUUCAGAGAAAGGCAACUCGUUUUAUAUUAUCGCGAAAUAUGGGAGAGAUUGUGACAGAAAUGAUGCAGGCUGGAAAUCAUUAAAAGGAAGGCGUUUUUCGUUGCGACGGAAUCUUCUCACGAAAUUUCAAUCACCAACUUUCUUCUCCGAAUCCGAAAAUAUUUUGUUGACACCGACCUACAUAGGGAGGAACUAUCACCACGAUAAAAUAAGGAAAAUCAGAGCUCGUACGGGAAUAUAUAGGUGUUCAUUCUUUCCGCGCGCUGUACGAGAUUGGUAUAAUAGAGAAUUGUGACGAUGGUUUGAUGAACCCUCUGUCAGGCACUUGAAUGUGAUUUGCAGAGUAUCCAUGUAGAUGUAGAUGUAGAUGUAUGUUGUCCAAGUACUGCAAGCUGCGACCCAGGGGUGGGACACCGGUAUUUGUAUCUUUCUGGGUGGUAGGGGAAGGUAAGUAAUCAAAAUAUGGGUCAUCAUGGAUGGAGAAGAUGUCAGACAGAUAGGAUGCAAAACUGUUACCUAGCUUUGCUCAUAUUGUCAGAUAAGGGACGGUUGUGACAGAGAUGUGAGUAGUGGGGUAUGGAGUUGUUGGCGGUGAGCCAGUGGAAUGCUUUUCAGUAUUUGGAAGAGUUAAUGGGAAGUUUAGCAUUGAGCUUGGUGCAUGUCUGGCGCUAGUCCCAGGGUUUUUUUGUGGUUAAUAAGUUCCUGAUACGGUUAUAUAUUUGCUGGUCGUGUAUGAGUGUAUCCUGGUUAUGAGUCUGCAAGAAGGAAUGGCACAUAUCACAUGAUUCUCGUAGGAGUAGUAGAGCUUGUGGGGGAAUGGUGGGGUGCUGAGUAUGUAUAUCGUCUUAGUAGGAAUGUGGAUGGAUAUGGUGUCUGAAAAGGCCUGGUGCAGAAAGAAUGUAGCAUGAGGGAUAUGGUCAGGCUGCUGGAAGGACAGGGGGUGGUUUCCAGUUUGGGUUUCUGUGGAUUCCUUGUUGGCAUUCCAGUUGGCACGUUUGUAGUCUUGGAUAAAUCAUGGAAAGAGACUGGAAUAGGGUGCAAAGGAAGAGUUUGUGUGAAGGAGAUGGUGAGGAGUGCAGGUAGAUGGUCACUUCCAAUUAGAUCGGAUACUUCUAACAAGGAGGUUGAGAGAUGCUAGGAUGACACUGGACUGGUGUUCCUUUCAGAAUCGGUGUAGUGUGGGAUGGGAACAAUGUCACCUAGGAGGGAGUCUGUAAACAGAUGCCACAGCUGAAGUGGGAGAUCUGCUAUCACUGUUGACACUUGCAGAAAUAGCAUAGGUGGGAAAUGUACGAUCUGCGUGAGUAAGGGAUUCAUAGGGGAUGGGGUGAUUAGGUAAGAUGUAGAUGGUGACACAGGUAAGGUUAGGGUCUGGAAAAAGAGUAACGAUUAGGGGUUUGGUGGGAGUAUUUAUUAGGAUUGUGGCCAAACGGGUAUGUUCUUGUUGUGGCCAAUUGGAACUCCACCUCUGACCAGCGAAAGGACAUUAUCAGUGCAGUGGAGGAUAUACAGACAGGUUCAGAAGGUGUGACAGGGUUGGAGAAACGUUUCAUUAAGCAUAAAUUUAUUGACGCUGUGUUGGCAUAGGACAUUCAUCAACAGAAGUUUACUGAUGAGGGGAGAGCGCAGGUUGUGGUACAAGAUUUUGUAGGCCUGUCGCGCCAACAUAAGGGAUAAAUUUGGUUUGUGCGGCAUGAGGAAGUUAAGUCACAAGUUAGUGGCUCGUUAGGUGAAGAUGAUGUGAAGCUGUUUGUGGGAGUAGGUAACUUAUGGAAAAUGGACUGGGCAGCAAGGAAAAUUUGUUGGAAGCUAUUUGGACAUUGAAAUAGAUGUACGUUUUGGAGGACGAUUUGAUAAUAACUUCAGGUUUGGUAGCUGAAUUGAGAGAAUUGUUGGGGUCAAUGGGGGUAUGAGUGGAACAUACUGAAACAGCGAGCUCAUAUUUGGUAGGUUGUGACUUAGCUUUGCAUUUUGCAGAGUAAGUGGGGUGGGAGACAUUGUAGGUGUCGCAGAUAGGACACUGUAAGAAAAUGGGAGACUUUGCAGUGUUAGCAGGUAGAUGGAUUUUUACAAUCUGCAGCAAGGUGGACAUUGUCACGAAGACGUUUUUGGCAGCUUUAGGAAUGGGGCUGGAAUUUUGAAGGUUAAACUUGUGGCGGUGCUGGUAAAUCAGGGCUUCGUCAUUUUGAAAAGGUGUAAGGUGGCAGAAGAUUCAGAAAAGGCACAAAGGAGGCGAGUGGAAGAAGGUCAUUAUUGAUCAGAAAGGGCUUCUCGAACUUCUAAAUCUGGGUGGAUGUUCAAUUCAGAUGCCACUUCCCCGUUUGUGAUUUCAAGUUCGGCCUUUGUGAGUGGUGCAGUGGUGGGGAGGUUGAGGUUGUCAUAUACUUGCUGAAGAACACGAACUGCAUCAUGAGUUAUUAAAUCUGGUCCAGAAUAUCAUAUCUUGAAGAUCUUAGAAAUGUUGCUUCAGAAGAUGAGCCACAGGAAAUAUUAAUUAAAACAAUUGCUUUACGAGCGCGCGCGCGCACACACACACACACACACACACACACACACACACACACACACACACAGGCAGUUUAAAACUACUCGAAAUAAAAGAAACGACACUGCACAGUAAAUUGCGUGGGCAAACAAUAGUGUUAUGCUUUGACAUUUUAAUAAAUAACCGAAACCUGCAGUUGUAUGACACCAUGACUGGAAGUGAUGUGGAUUCGGCGUGGCGUUGUAUACGUUCUGACGUAGGGAAAUCCACUCCACCAUCAAUCAAAACAAAGAAGAGGAAACGCGCAUUUUCGAAAGAAUAUCUACAUUUUAAUUAUAUAUUAUGUUACUUUAUAAAGAAAUUUUAAAUUAGUGUAAAUUUUUCGCUUCAUGGACCACUCAAAAAAGAUUAUUCAUAUGUGAUUACCUUAAAAGUUGUUUUAUUAAAAAGAAUAUUCGCCAUUAACAUAUACGGUGAAAUAAUACAGAUGCACAAUUGUUAUAGGUAGAGGGCACUUUUUACUGUUACCAAUCAGGUUACUCUUAAAAACUGCGAUAUAAGGUUUUAACAGAUUAAAAGUUACUUUACUUAUGACAGCGAACCGAGUAUUCUGUGCGGACAAGUUACUCUGUAACUGUAAUAUAUGGUAUGUUGGCAUUUAAUACGCUCCAAAAUUUCUUUUUGUAAACUAAGAAUUUCUAUCACUAACUGCAUCUCUCUUAUUAAUUAUAGCUAUUUUUAACUUUGUCUAACACAUCUGAAGAUGGGCAGCUAGCCUGAAACCGGUAACUGAAAAUAAAGAAUGGCGAUCGAAGACUGAAACGCCAUAUUUUAUUUAAUGAACGGUCGCUGAAUUCCUAUUGAGACAAUCAUGUCAAGUUUUGAUAGAAAUGUCCUAAUUUGUCAUACAGAAAUUGUGGCAACCCUAGAUACAUAGAAAGGUGAACGUAUAGUUAUCGCGAAAUUGGGGCGAGCAUAAACUUUACUUAAUGCCACGUUGGAUUUUAUGCGGCAGCAAACGCCUGACAACCAGCAGGACUCAGGCAGUGCUCGCAGACUGGCACGGACUUGUCCACCGAUACCGGCCUGCUCAGGCUGUCCGGCAGGUUGGCUCGGCUGCAUUCCUGUUGGCGCCUCGGCGGAAGUGCUGGGGGGUGAGGGGGUCGAGCAUACAUAAAGGCCACCCCAUCCCUAGGCGGCUUCAUUAUUUCGUCAGGCACCAUUGUGUGUAGUCGAUUGUCUAGUUCUCGCUUGUCUGUGUUAGUCGUUAGUCGUUAGUUUGGUUCAUCUAACACGACGCGAUCGGCGGCAUCGAGCUCCAUCGGUGUGCCAGGGGCAGAAAACGGCACAGACUGUUAGAGCAGGGUGGAAAAUUACCUGGUAAGUGCAGAUUCAACUGUAACUUCUGUCUUGCAGUAAGAAUUUCGUAGUAUGGAAUUAAUUCCUUCUUAUUGCUUCAGUGCAUAUAUAACGAUACCAAAUCGUGAAUGAGAUGUAUACUGAGAUGCAGCAAACAGCAGAGACAGCGGCAGCAGCUGCAGCAGCGGCAUCGGCGGCAGUGUAAGUACGUAUGCCAUCUUUGUAGUACUGGUGAGACCAGCGAGUCUGUAGAGGUAUCAAAAUAACUGUGAACUUUUUUAACUGAGAAUGUCGUACUGAAUACAUGCCUUAUUGUUUCGGCGUGUGUGAAAUGGAUAAUAGAAGAGGCUGAGGGGCAGCAGCUGCAGCUGUAUCAACAUCUGUGGCAGCAAUAUCAUCGUAAGUAGUGUACAUAUUUCUCAUCGUAUGUGUAAUUUGUUGUGACAACGAGCCUGUGGUUGUUCCACGUGAUCUUUAAAUGUUACUUUUUCGCUAAGAAUUUCAUACUGUUGCAGUAUAUGGCGUGCAUACGUAGUUUCUUUCUAAAAAUUUCAUCCUUUACUUUAUAUAUUGUUGUUGUAGUACAUGUUUUCGAGGAUCAAAAUAGAUAAAACGUUACUUCCUUUCUUUUCACCAAGAGUUUCGUAUUGUUUGUGUACAUAUAUCCAUUAAUUUUUUCAUCUCCAUGGCAUUGUGUACUCAUAAUUAAAUUUCAUCGUAUAUGUAACACGGCGCAUAUUAUUUAUUACAGAUGAUUUCCUGGCAGACGAAGAAGGGGGAGGGAGAGGUUUGUGCUGCAGAUACGUAGGAGCCAUCGCAAAUUCCCUGCUGCAGGUGACAUCAGUGAGACGAAUUGAUGGACGCUACGCAGUUCAGGAAAGGGAGAAAUGCCACAGUGGGUGGAGGAGAUGCAUUGCGAUCUUCGUCGUGAGGAGAUGAGGGAGAUGCCGAGGAGCCACAGCGAAAUAGGUUGCAGUCACUGCCAGCUCGGACUACUGCUGUAAUCAAUCCCAUCAACGCUCAGUUUGAGUCAGAGCAUUCUGUGUGAAGGUGGGAGUGUGCAGCAGCUUGUUGACACUUACCCUUUUUCACCUACCAUCAGCAUGGAGCUCUGUCUGAUUGAGGAACAGUGUGUCAACAUCAAGUUUCUUGCAAAGGUAUGCAAAACUGGCCGUGAGAUUUUUAAGGGUUUGAAACAGGUUUACGGAUACAAUUCUCUAAAGGAACCAACCGUGAACAAGUGGUUAAAAAGGUUCUGGGAUGGCCGAGAAGAAGUAACGAUGACCCUUGCCCAGGAUGCCCGUCGACAUCGAGUGCUGAUGCAAAUGUUGAACGAAAUCAGGCUUGUGUUCUUAAAGACCGUAGAUUCACAGUAAGAAUGAUUGCUGAUGAGCUGUCAAUCACCAAAACAAUCGUUCAUGAAAUCCUGACACAAAAACUUGAAAUUAAGAAAUUGUGUGCAUCAAUCAUACCGAAGCUCUUGACGCCAGAUCAGAAAGCAAAGAGGGUCGAGUGCUGUGAGGAUUGGUUGGAAGCAGAGGAAUGAGGGGACUUUCUCAACUCAGUCAUCACUGGAGACGAGCCCUGGUUUUACGGAUUUGACGUGGAGCUCAAAUCCCAAAGCAAGGAAUGGAAACUAGCAGGAGAACCGAGAACAAUAAAAGUCGCGAGUCCAAUUUGAAGACAAUGUUGAUACUUUUCUUUGAGUCUAGGGCCAUUGAUCACAUGGAAUUUGUCCCUCCUGGCAAGAGAGUGAACAGAAAUUUUUACAUUGAAGUUCUGACACAUCUCAGAGCUCGUGUGGCCCGAGUUCGACCGGAGUUGGCAAAAGGGGGCAGGUGGAUCCUUCAUCACGAAAAUGCGCCCCCACUCGCACGUUGCUCAUUGUGCGCGAGUUUUUAGCCCGAAGGUCAAUAACCGUGACCGACCACCCACCUUAUUCACCCGAUUUAGCCCUGUGUGACUUCUUCAUGUUCCCAAAAUGCAAAAUGGCGCUUCGGGGGCGGCACUUGGGAGAUGUGGAAACGACACGGCAGCUGAACAACAUCCCAACUGAAGACUUUCAGCAAUGUUAUCAACAGUGGAAACGGCAUUGGCAGAAGUGUAUCACAUCUCAGGGCAAGUACUAUGAAGGAGACCAUAUUGUAAUACCUGAAUAAUUGUAAAAUAAAGUUAUUAUUCAACUUUUAUACAUACUUUCUGGACAAACCUCGUGGAUUAGCAAAUGAGACACUGAAGAUAAUAGAAGUGUUUUGUUAUUUGGGUAACAAAAUUAUUGAUGAUGGCUGACACAGAGAGGAUAUAAAAUGCAGGCUCGACUGUCUGAUGGACAGAAUAUCUGAAAAAGAGGAAUAUGUUAGGAGUGGAUAUAAAUUUAAAUGUUAAGGAGUCUUUUCUGGAGGUAUCUGCCUGAAGUGUAGCCUUGCUCCAAAACGAGAUGUGAACAACAAGCAGUUCAACUAGAAAAGGAUGGUAUCUUUCGAAAUGUGUUUCUAGGAAGAAAUUUUGACGAUUACGUCGAUAAAACAUAAAGGUAAACUGUGUCCAUCGGUACUGGCCGACCACCGUGUCAUCGUCCCGCACACCACUAUCCUGCCUGUGUCAGUUUUCUUGACCUUCGAGACCUGCUUGCUUCAGUAGCUUCUCAUUUGGCAUCACAAUGGUGAAUGUACACCGUUCCAGUCCUCUCACCUAGAAAAAAAAUCCCUGGCAGUACCGGGAAUCUAAACCUGUGUCCUCCCCAUGAUAGGCAGCAGCAGUGAACAAAGUUACGGAGGUGGAUAGAUGACUAUGACUGCUACUAGAUACCCUCUGCGAUGCACCUAGAGGUGGCUUAUGGAAUAAUUAUGCAGUUGCAGAUCAAAUUACUAAGAAAAUGGUACUGAAUGAAAUUGAGGAGAAAAGAAAUUUUCAACACAACUUGACUAAAAGAAGGAACAGGUUGAUAAGACAUACCCUGAUGCAUCAAGGAAUCAUCAAUUUGGUAUUGGUGGGAUUUCAGUGAGGGGAGGAAAAACUGUUGAGUGGGAAAUACAGUAAUACAGUAAGCAGGUUCAAAUGGAUGUAUGCUUGUGUAUGAUAGACUAACAUUGAGAGCUGCAUGAAACCAGUCUUUGGACUGAAGACCUCAACAAAAACAGUUGGCUGUAUGUAGGAAUUUCCUGUGGUCAGGAAAGCAAUGAGAAAGGAUUUUCUGAUAAAGAAAACUGCAAAUACUAUACAUUAAUGUGGUGUAAAAUGUUUCUUGAUCUGUUUAUGAAGCCACAGAAAUCAUAUAUUAGUUCUUUUGGCAUAAAAAACCUGUACAGGAUGAUUAAUCUACCCAUACCGAUGGGUUUUAUGCAACUUGCAAUGCCUACAAAUGUCAUGGGCAACAUUUUCAUUUCUCUCACCCACUACAUGCAAAUUACUAGUCCUACAUAAAAAAAAUGAACAGGAUCUUUUUUGUGGGAAAUUUAAUGUAGCCUUUUUUUUGGGGGGGGGGGGGGGGGGGGUUGGGCUACAUUUUUGUUAGAGGCCCAAAUGCAUUUUUCUUGAAUAACACAAAAACUGUAGUCUCCAACAAAAACUUAUUCCAGUUCAAAAUUUAAUGUAGUUAAUUUUCAUACAAAAAGGUCCUGUUCAUUGUUUUCAUAGGCCUAACAAUGUGCAUGUAGGGAGGAGAGAAGAUUAAAAUCAUGGGUGUGUUUCUUGAAGAUGUUGCAGGUUCCAUAAAACUUUAUGGCAGGGGCAGCCGAAUAACCCUGUGUAUGAUCCGGAUGAUUCAACAACAUGCUUAAUACACCUCAUGGUCAAACAUGGCUGCUGAUAGAAAAUAGGUAGUUCAUAUUGGCUUUGUGUAUCCCCAUUAUGUGACUGAAGUAAAGAAGAGGACGUGGGAUGUUCACUGUCAACUUUUAUACCCACAUUGGUAAGCCAAAACACAUUAAAAUAUACAAGGCAUGGCAGAAAAGUACCAUUGUUGGAAAAGGAUUCAUGAAAUCAUUUCUUCAGACAUAUGUCAUAGCGGUAAUCCAACUUUUCUAUGCUCUCUUCAUAGAAAGAUACCAUCAGUGAAGACAUCCAAUACUGAUCACACUUUCUUAGAUCAUCAUUGGUGUUGAAGCACCUUCAUCCUACUUGAUGAUGAAGUAAAAGUGGUAGUCAGCAGAUGUGAGAUCAGCACUGAUUGGCAGGUGGUCAAACUGUUCCCAACUGAAUUGUUUAGUAAGGUUUUCAGUGCCACCAGCACAAAUGAAAUGUGAUGUCAUGAAGCAACAUAAUAAUUCGAUUGAGAAUUUUGCAUCUUUUGUUUUGAGUAGUGUGAUGGAGUUCUCUUGGUGUUUCGCAGUAUCAUACCGCUUUCAUGAUUUCACCUUGGAGAAGGAACUCAACAAGCAGAAUGUCUUGUUAGUCAUAGAACCCGUUGCACCAGAUUUUUUGCACUGACAACUUCAUUCUAAUUUCUUUUUAUUCUGGUAGGGGGGGGGGGGGGGUUGGGUGGGGGAGGGGAGGAGGAAUAUUGUUGGAUUCUGAGUUCCGUCACUCCAUACAUUGUUGUUUUUGUUUUGGAGUGUCAUGAAAAACCCAAGUUUUAUCACCAGUCAUGAUUUUAUUUAAGAAUUCAUCUUCCUUAUUACUGUUUUCAGUGGUGAAAUGUCAAAACCCUGACAAGGUACAUGAUUUUGUAAGCAUUUUUGAAACAGAAUUCACAAAAAUUUAAGCAAUUUAUGACUGAGUCAUGCAAAACAGUUUUUGAAAUACAUUCUUAUUGUGAACCAUGCGUUUUCAUGAAUUUUUCUCACCCAUACCAUCAGUGACAACAGAAGGCUGUCCGACACAUGCUUCAUCAUGAGUGUUUCUUCAACUGUCUCACCCACUUCCUCACCAUAAAUGUCUACAAGUUGAUGAAUUUCAGCUGGCUUAAUGUUCUGUGUGUUGAAACAAAACAUAACACAGCGCACUUCACAGUCACUGGGCUCAAAGGCUGUCUUAAAGAUUUUGACUGAUCACUAACAAAUAUAAAUACCACAAAAUUUAGCUGCAGAGUCAACUGUGGAAAGACAAUGAACCAGAGAAAUGUGUGAACCUACAACACAAGUGCUGGAGUGGCAGCAGAAUGAUUUGGUACUUACUUUCAGGAUGCACCUCUUCUAUGGAAGUGCCCGUCACCUUUUAACGUAAAUUUUUGCUUAUGAUGGAAACUAUGUUGAAACAGUAUGUUUUGUUUAUCUCUCUCUAGUCAUGACAGGUAAUGUGAUUCAAGGACAGCGGUACUUUCUGACUUACCUUAGCCAAGCUCCAACUCUUCUGCCCUGUAAGCUACUUGCUUUUAUCCUCAGGUUGUUACUCCCUGGCCUGCAGCUGCUCCCAAAAAAAUUGCAUACAUUGUGUGUGUGUGUGUGUGUGUGUAACAAAAAAAAAAAAAAAAAAAAAAAAAAAAAAAAAAAAAAAAAAAGACUACAUUUACAAAGGAUUUGUGGGGGUCAGAGGAGAUAGAGAUACACUUAAUUACAUGUCACUGGUGUGAACCAUGUUGCUGAUAUGGAUCCGUUAAAGUUUUGAUGUUAGUAAUGCUCGAGAUAUGAUGUGACUAUUGGUAUAGGGGCAUUUCAGAAAAUAUCGCCUGUCUACAUUAUGGCACAACUGGAAUAUGCUUGCUCAAAACAACCAAGUGUGAAUAAUGACAAUGCAUUCAGCUGACUGGUAACCAGUGCUUCAUAUACCAUCAUCGUCUCCCCCUAUAAAAAAAAAAAGACAUUUAGAGGCAGUCACACAAAAAAAAAAGCUUCUUUUUCUCUCCUAAACACAUGAAAAGUGUGUGUAUGUAGUUUAUUGUUUUAAUACACCCUGUAUAUGAAAAGAGCUGUCACCAUUACCUAAACUGCUUACAUGGUGUUAAUUUGCACACAGAUUUCUGGCUGUUCCACUGGAAAACUUACCAAGACAUUUACAUCAUAAAGCCAAUACUCGCUUGUAACUUAAAAAUGUACACAGCUCAAAGGUAGUACAACUACAACUCUGCUGAAUUACAGUGUCUUUCAUGCAGUACAACAUUUUUAACCUCUGGGAUAAGCUACGAAAUAAUUACUCCAUGCCAUACAAAAAAACAAAACAGCCUCACUGUUAAUAUCUCUCAUAUAUGUAAUACGUAAUGGGAACAACGGAACCAACAAAAUUAAGAAAACCAUUAGCACUUUUUUAAAUUCAUCUAUCUUUUACAGAAAAGAACACUAAAUUUCAACCAUUUCGUAGGGACGUUACAACAUUAGCAAACACUGUGUUAUGAUUUGUGACCAUGCAUUAUAUAUAUUAUUGGGCACUUCAGUUCCAUGGAACACUAUUUAAUGUGCAGCUAUAUACAUGAUUAUUUUUAUUACUCAACAUGCGUAAUAUUACUUAAAGGUUAAUUUUAUCAUCAACUUACAGAAACAGUUAGGUUAAGAUACAUCGAUGUAUGCCGAUGGUUACUUUGCAGCCUGUCACUGCUACAUAGUGUUGAAACCAUAGGCUAGGUGGAAGACUCACUGGACAAAAAAUUGUUAGAACUACAUACAUACAUGAGUGAAAAGCAGUUUUGCUGGUCUCAAAAUACUUUAUUGUGCACUUCUGUUCCAAAUGACAACUUAAAUGAAACUUCACAUCUACAAUAAUUUCACCAAUAAGGUGGGCUACAAAUAGGUUGUAAUAUUCUGACCUGAGUAGCUCUUCAGCAAGUAGAGCUACAUUAUAUGUGCUACUGUUUUUACAUGAACACUAACACUAGUCAUGUUUGCAAUAGAAACAAUAAUUAGGUCCAAUACAUUUAAAAUUGUAUGCCUACAGCAAGCAACGCUACAGCCAGAAUGUACUGCUUGUUGAAAAUGAAAAUUCAUCAAAAUACUUGUAUUACACACUGAAAUUCCUUACAUCCAUUCUCUCUUGCUGCAAUAAUGCUUAAACUCACAGCCAAAGACAAUUGUACGUUGUUGUGGGGAAUUAGAAUAGCUAAUAAAUGCAACUAAAUAAUAUCUGUAUUCAUUUGAGUUUGUUUCACCAAGAUCCAGAUUAUGUUGUCACUUUUGUCCCCUUGUUCUUGCAUUAUCUGAUUGUAGUUUUCAAUUUUGGCCAGUUGAUAUAAGUCUGUCUUGUAACUCCUUCACGUUCAUUGUUAUUGGUAAUAACUUUAUUAGCUCGUAUCAUCUUUGAUGACAAUACAAAACUCGAUAAACAAAUCAAUGCAAUCUGUGCCAGCACUUAAUCAUUAAAAAAAACCUCUUUCAAAUUUUGUUUACAUUCAGUGCUAUUCAUUUUGUUCUAAGUUUCAACAUUAAAACUGUAACGUUUAAGUAUUCAGAGCAUUUGCCUCAAUUUUAUCCCAUAGAUUGCUUCUUUACUGAUGUGGGAUUUCAUAAAUUAGAAAGAGCAUCUCUCUUGAAAUAUUUACAAAUGGAAUACUGUUGAACAACGCUUAUGUACAUUUUGACACAGUUAUACAAUUGAAAAUGUUGACAGAUGUUCCUAAAAUUUCUUUUGCAACCUGAAUACUGAAACAUGUUCUAGGAACUACUUUAAAAUGUUAAAAUUCUACAAGAGGCUCUACACUGGAAGACACUCUAUUUCAUUUUUAUAUUAUUGCAGAAUGGCAGGAGCAAGACGAGGUACUUUCAGGGAACGACUGGCAAGUAGAAGUAAUUACCAAUAUUGCAGGUUCCAGUACUGACCAUGGUCCUAUUAUCAUCCAGUUGGAAACAUUCACACAAUGUUAGUCACAACAGAAGCACUUCCACUACAAUGGUUGUGACAAGUAUGCUCCUAAACCCUGUUGUUCUCAUCUACUUUCACGUGGUUUACAUUGUUCAUUGAUAAACAAUGGCAUCCCAGCAGACACUGUAGAAAUAAACUUGGUCCAAACAAGUACAGUAUAACAGAUGUCAAUGAAACGAGACUUUUUUUUUUACUUCACACAGUCACACCAGGAAUCCUCAAUACACAUUUAUGAAAGAAAUUAAGAUUACAACUUAUAAAAACUUGAGCUGUUAUCCAAAGCCACUAGAAGAAAACUUCAUUUGAGUAGUGACAAGUUAGCAAGAACCAAUACCUCAUUUCUGCUUCAGAAGAAUGUAUCUAACAAGAAGCCAAAUUUCAUCCACUCAUUUAUUACAUGGGAAAGUGUGGCUCCAUAUGUAUUUUCACUGUCCACUGGUAGUUUCCAAAGGGGAAACACAAGUCAGGGAGCAAUUUUCCAUAAGAGCUGAAAUUAAUGUGUUAAAGAGGCACAACAUAUUUUGGGGGGAAAGAAGGGAGGCUGGAGAGAUGUGUUUUACAAGGUUAUGGCAGGCCCAAUGUAUAACGUUUCUAUUUUGAUGUAGAGUUCACAUAAAGAUGUCAUUGUUCAUGAACAACACUGUGUGAACAAAGAACAGCUCUCAAGCAUACUAAACAUCAAUGACCCGCUGCCUACUGGAAUAAUGAAGGUUUCUUUAUGGACCGCAUUUUGAUCACUUGCAAGAAGCAAUCACUAGUUUAUCGUGGGCUGUAAUGAUUUCAAACGUAAUAUCUCAUUUCACCUCAUACAAUUUGUAACUUUGGCAUUUUGCUGUGAUUACUGCAUUGCUGAACAAAUCAAAGUAGUCAACAACAGUUAGCCAAGAUAUGGGACUUCUUUCCUUUUCUUUUUUUUUAUAAUACCCACCACUCUGCCUGUGUCAUGUUAAUAGAAAAUGACAAUCUUAGCAACCUUGUUAGUGGUCCGGCUGUGAGACUUGAAAGCAUUCCACUCCCAAUGCUACAUCGCUGGGUUUUGAGAGAACUGUCAGUAGGUGGCAGUGUUCUGCUUGGAAGGUCCUGAAACACACAAAGUGUGGCAAAAAUUACUAUUGGGACAGUAAUGCAUUAAGUCACUAGAAACUGCUGUCAGGUAGAACCACUGUACUGAAUAACAACCAGAAGCAUUUCUAUAAGUAUUGCAUAUGGGUGCAGCUUAUGGGAACUCUAUGAAUGUGAGUUGAAAGUCCCUUUCUUAUCUUCAGGAAUUUACACUAGAUUAUAGCACAACAGCUGUAGGGACCUAGAUUAAGUUUAUUUAGUGUAAAUACAGAAAAUGUUGCAAUUUUCUCAAUUCAUUCUUUUCAACAGAACAACCAAAGGAAACAGAAAAUCUAGCUGAGGAAAUUAAUAAAUUACACCACAAAAUUCAAUUCAAUUCACUUCACAUCACUGUAGAAAUAAAACACCAGAAAACAUUAACAAAACUUUUAUAUAAAAAUGCUCAAACUUCCACAAAGCCAACAAUUCCCAGUGUUACCAUCCGUAACUCUUCUUGCUAUCCAGAUCACAAUAGAAAAGUGUUCUUCAGAAGAAUGUUUAAUCACAUGGUUAAAGACCCAAUGGAUACAAGUGAAAGUUAAAAAUAAACACAAAUUGUAAAAUCAGCUGCCUCCAGUUAUGAAUACAAUCCCGCUGUAAUACAGAAAUUAAACCAACCAGUUUCUGGACAACCACCCACAAACAGGAAGACCAUCUUUGUAAUAAGCUGACUUUCCUCAAGGAAGAUUUCAUACCAAAUUGCCAACCUCUUCAAGUUGUAUGUCAUACAAACAAGCUUCUUCGCAAGCAACAAAAUACAGAAUAAUAUCAUCCACAGUACUGAAAACACUAAGCAAGAAUAUCAAAAGUCAGGUAUGUCCAAACUUCUGCAAUAAACAAACUGGUAGAAGCACAGGGAUGCACUCUGUCUUAACAUACAGAACAAAUCCAACUUUGCAGAAUGAGUUACUGGGCAAGAAUUGUGGCAAACAGUGUAGAAAAGAACCAGGCAAGAAAUUUGACUUUCUUGAAGGAACUCAAGUAUCUUUCAACACAGAUACAGCACCAGUCUACCUACUCAAUGACAAGUUUUGCCUUCACAAUUAUGAAGACUUGCUAUUUUAAGAAAAAAAAAAAACAAAAAAACCUGCCCCCUCUCAAUCUCUCUUUGCAUC